UGUUGUUAUAUGCUCUGAGAUUGAUUCUAACGCAAUCUGGCUAAAGAAAUGAGGGUACUGCUGCUUUCAGGGUACUGGUGGUUAAGCCACAUCUUCAUUUGAAGAUGUCCUAUAAAACAAAUGCUCGCCACGACUCAACAGCAAAUGCUUAUAACACGACUGUUCCCUGUCUCUCGGGAAGUACGAAAAGAAUUGUUGGGUGUUCGACUGUUUCCAGGCAUCUGUGCUCAGACUCGAGAAGUAGCGUGUACUAAGAUAGUUCUUCCGGAAGUCAUAGAUAAAGGUCUCAAUAUUGUUGAAGUAGCACAUGAUAAUUAGCCAGUAGUCAAGAAAUUUGUCACUGAUGAUCUCAACCUUACAAACUCGUACGACACAUGGCAUGGCACUAAGAAUGUAGCGAAGAAGAUGAAGAAAGUAGCAAUUGGGACCAAAAAGGCUCAAGGAAAGACGUGGUUUCCAGAGUUAUCUGACAAACGUAAAAGUACGAAAGUUCACUUGUACUACUGUAUGAAGAACUGUGAGCAGUCAGCAGACAAUCUAAGAAAGAACAUUCUGAAUAUCGUUAAACAUUAUCAGGUGAGUGUGUAUGAUAACAAGUUGUCCGUACUC
Long non-coding RNA from Halichondria panicea, 609 nucleotides. RefSeq lists it as uncharacterized. The transcript is spliced from 5 exons. Lineage: Eukaryota; Metazoa; Porifera; Demospongiae; Suberitida; Halichondriidae. The record is from RefSeq and is a predicted model, not a curated record.